GUCUACGGCCAUGCUACCCCGAACAAGCCCAAUCCCGUCUGAUCUUGGGAGCUAAGCAGGGUCAGGCCUGGUUAGCACUCGGAUGGGAGACCACCUAGGAAGAUCAGGUCCUGUAGGUG
This 119-nucleotide ribosomal RNA is filed under the name Pteropus alecto (black flying fox). Lineage: Eukaryota; Metazoa; Chordata; Mammalia; Chiroptera; Pteropodidae. The record is from RNAcentral.